AACUAGUGACAGAGUGAGAGAGGGGGUGACUAGUGACAGAGUGAGGGAUGGGGUGACUAGUGACAGUCACCCCCUCUUUCACUCUGUCACUAGUCACCCCCUCUCUCACUCUGUCACCAGUCAU
This is a non-coding RNA of Pelobates cultripes (western spadefoot toad), 124 nucleotides long. The record is from the annotation of a GenBank genome assembly. Lineage: Eukaryota; Metazoa; Chordata; Amphibia; Anura; Pelobatidae.